This 258-nucleotide ribosomal RNA is filed under the name uncultured bacterium. RNAcentral describes it as "partial 16S ribosomal RNA". It matches the Rfam family "Bacterial small subunit ribosomal RNA", at positions 96 to 354 of the family's 1533-position model. The record is from RNAcentral.
UGGCGGACGGGUGAGUAACGCGUGGGUAACCUGCCCUGUACAGGGGGAUAACAGUUAGAAAUGACUGCUAACACCGCAUAAGCGCACGGUAAGGCAUCUUAGUGUGUGAAAAUAUUCAUAGGUAUACGAUGGUUCCGCGUCUGAUUAGCUAGUUGGUGGGGUAAUGGCCUACCAAGGCAACGAUCAGUAGCCGGCCUGAGAGGGUGAACGGCCACAUUGGGACUGAGACACGGCCCAAACUCCUACGGGAGGCAGCAG